This 450-nucleotide ribosomal RNA is filed under the name uncultured bacterium. RNAcentral describes it as "partial 16S ribosomal RNA". It matches the Rfam family "Bacterial small subunit ribosomal RNA", at positions 354 to 796 of the family's 1533-position model. The record is from RNAcentral.
GUGGGGAAUCUUCCGCAAUGGACGAAAGUCUGACGGAGCAACGCCGCGUGAACGAUGACGGCCUUCGGGUUGUAAAGUUCUGUUAUACGGGACGAAUGGUACGACGGCCAAUACCCGUCGUAAGUGACGGUACCGUAAGAGAAAGCCACGGCUAACUACGUGCCAGCAGCCGCGGUAAUACGUAGGGGGCAAGCGUUGUCCGGAAUUACUGGGCGUAAAGCGCACGCAGGCGGCGUCGUAAGUCGGUCUUAAAAGUGCGGGGCUUAACCCCGUGAGGGGACCGAAACUGCGAUGCUAGAGUAUCGGAGAGGAAAGCGGAAUUCCUAGUGUAGCGGUGAAAUGCGUAGAUAUUAGGAGGAACACCAGUGGCGAAAGCGGCUUUCUGGACGACAACUGACGCUGAGGCGCGAAAGCCAGGGGAGCAAACGGGAUUAGAUACCCGAGUAGUCC